RNAcentral lists this long non-coding RNA (1111 nucleotides) under Zalophus californianus (California sea lion). RNAcentral describes it as "lncRNA (ENSZCAG00015004113.1)". The record is from RNAcentral. Lineage: Eukaryota; Metazoa; Chordata; Mammalia; Carnivora; Otariidae.
CUGAGAAGUGCCUUAUAUGUCUGAUUUCUCAACUUCACCCUGCAGUAAACUUUUGCAAUCUGGAGGCUAGAGACCUCUUUUGUAAAUGUUGUCUGCCCGAACUGCGUUGGCACCGAGGAGGCCUUAGCAGAUAAAGUGGAGGAACAUAUGGCUCCCAUCUGAAUACAAAUUGGUGGACAUAACGUGGUAAUUCAGCUGAGAUGUCCUCUAUAUUGUAAACUGAAAGAGUAUGAUUAGAGGUGUUUAUAAACGGCGUCUGAUUUUCCCCCACACACCCCCUUCCCCACCCCCUUCCACUGUAGUUUUAUCGGCCUGAAUCAUAGCCAUCCAGCGUCCCAGUCUCACUGCAUUAUUUGUUAAAAUGGCCAGCAUGAGGAAUUAUUAAUUAAAGCUAACAAAUCACCCUGAAGAGCUGUGCCCUGGCAUGGCUGAAGGUUGAUUGGUGAAAGUGUUCUCCUUUGGAGAAAAGACUUUUUGUGCUCGUGACGCAGUCAGGGACGGAUUAUUGAAUAUGCAAGUUAGAAGAAAAAUCACAGGACAAGCAAAUUGAGUAUUUACUGGCAAAUAAUUGCUCUCUUAAGCUGUGGCUCUCUUCCUAAAUUCUUAACAUUCCCGAGGGUUAGAAAGAAACACAGAAAAAUGCAUCGGUACAGAGUACAUUUCAAAAAAAAUACAUAGACUGAUGUUUCAGACUUGUGCAGAAUGUUUCGCCAUCACUAACUGGAUAUUCAUCACAACUUUGCUGUCGGUUCAACCAGAUCAGUACCAAAAGACUAUAUGCUAGCAGAAAUCUCAAGACCAUUCCAAGCUUUGUCUUCACCUGGAGGCAGUCUCAGAGAUCCCAAGGUUCCGUGACCAUCAGUCUGUGGCCUGCCCCUUCUCUUUAUAAACUUCUUGAAUUCUGUCUGAUGCCUGAUGACCUGACAAACUGGCCCAGAAUCAGAAGCCGGUCGUGCCGUGUGAGCUGUUAGCCAAGUUAUUCAGCUUGAACUGCUCCUUCAAAAACAGUAGGAAGGCGAGUAUCAGACAUAAGACCUGUGGUACCCAACCCAGUGUCAUCAGUAUCACCUGGGAGCUUUCUAGAAAUGCAGAAUCACAGACUCAGUCCCAG